Molecule: transfer RNA, 71 nt
Filed under: Marmota monax (woodchuck)
Lineage: Eukaryota; Metazoa; Chordata; Mammalia; Rodentia; Sciuridae
Description: tRNA.Ala
Source: RNAcentral
GGGGUUGUGGCUCAGGGGAGAAGUGCUUGCCUGGCAUGCAUGGGGCACUGGGUUCAAUCCUCAGCACCACA